RNAcentral lists this ribosomal RNA (253 nucleotides) under uncultured bacterium. Its description in RNAcentral is "partial 16S ribosomal RNA". It matches the Rfam family "Bacterial small subunit ribosomal RNA", at positions 524 to 776 of the family's 1533-position model. The record is from RNAcentral.
UACAGAGGUCUCAAGCGUUGUUCGGAUUCAUUGGGCGUAAAGGGUGUGUAGGUGGCGCCGUAAGUCGGGUGUGAAAUUUCGGAGCUUAACUCCGAAAUUGCAUUCGAUACUGCGGUGCUUGAGGACUGGAGAGGAGACUGGAAUUCACGGUGUAGCAGUGAAAUGCGUAGAUAUGCGGAGGAACACCGAUGGCGAAGGCAAUCCCCUGGGCCUGCACUGACGCUCAUGCACGAAAGCGUGGGGAGCAAACAGG